GUGCCAGUAGCCGCGGUAAUGCGUAGGGGGCCAGCGUUGUUCGGAAUUACUGGGUGUAAAGGGUUCGUAGGCGGUGCGGCAAGUUGGGAGUGAAAUCUCUGGGCUCAACCCAGAGCCGGCUUCCAAAACUGCUGUGCUUGAGUGUGAGAGAGGCUCGCGGAAUUGCAGGUGUAGCGGUGAAAUGCGUAGAUAUCUGCAGGAACACCCGUGGCGAAAGCGGCGAGCUGGAUCACUACUGACGCUGAGGAACGAAAGCUAGGGGAGCAAACAGGAUUAGAUACCCCGGUAGUCC
This 292-nucleotide ribosomal RNA is filed under the name uncultured bacterium. RNAcentral's name for it is "partial 16S ribosomal RNA". It matches the Rfam family "Bacterial small subunit ribosomal RNA", at positions 505 to 796 of the family's 1533-position model. The record is from RNAcentral.